RNAcentral lists this ribosomal RNA (469 nucleotides) under uncultured Verrucomicrobiota bacterium. RNAcentral describes it as "bacterial SSU rRNA". It matches the Rfam family "Bacterial small subunit ribosomal RNA", at positions 17 to 482 of the family's 1533-position model. The record is from RNAcentral. Lineage: Bacteria; Pseudomonadati; Verrucomicrobiota.
UCCUGGCUCAGAACGAACGCUGGCGGCGUGGAUAAGAUUUGCAAGCCCAACGGGCGUAGCAAUACGUCAGUGGCGAAAGGGUGCGUAACACGUGGGCAAUCUGCCGGAAAGUGGGGGAUAGCUCGCCGAAAGGCGAAUUAAUACCGCAUGUGGUGAGUUAAGACAUCUUAGCGAAACUAAAGUCGGGGCAACCUGACGCUUUCUGAUGAGCCCGCGGCCUAUCAGCUAGUUGGUGAGGUAACGGCUCACCAAGGCAAUGACGGGUAGCUGGUCUGAAAGGACGACCUACCACACUGGAACUGAGACACGGUCCACACACCUACUGGUGGCAGCAAUCGAGAAUUUUUCUCAAUGGGCGAAAGCCUGAAAGAGCGACUCCGCGUGGAAGAUGAAGGGUUUCGGCUUGUAAACUCCUGUCUUUGGGGAACGAGUUAUGGGGAGUAACUGCCCUGAUAUUGAAACUACCGAA